Molecule: ribosomal RNA, 411 nt
Filed under: Actinomycetes bacterium
Lineage: Bacteria; Bacillati; Actinomycetota; Actinomycetes
Description: Actinobacteria bacterium partial 16S ribosomal RNA
Rfam family: Bacterial small subunit ribosomal RNA
Source: RNAcentral
UGGGGAAUAUUGCACAAUGGGCGCAAGCCUGAUGCAGCGACGCCGCGUGGGGGAUGACGGCCUUCGGGUUGUAAACUCCUUUCGCUAGGGACGAAGCUUUUUGUGACGGUACCUAGAUAAGAAGCACCGGCUAACUACGUGCCAGCAGCCGCGGUAAUACGUAGGGUGCGAGCGUUGUCCGGAAUUACUGGGCGUAAAGGGCUCGUAGGUGGUUUGUCGCGUCGUCUGUGAAAUUCCGGGGCUUAACUCCGGGCGUGCAGGCGAUACGGGCAUAACUUGAGUACUGUAGGGGUAACUGGAAUUCCUGGUGUAGCAGUGAAAUGCGCAGAUAUCAGGAGGAACACCGAUGGCGAAGGCAGGUUACUGGGCAGUUACUGACGCUGGGGAGCGAAAGCAUGGGUAGCGAACAGG